This 268-nucleotide ribosomal RNA is filed under the name unidentified gamma proteobacterium groupD. Its description in RNAcentral is "partial 16S small subunit ribosomal RNA". It matches the Rfam family "Bacterial small subunit ribosomal RNA", at positions 1106 to 1373 of the family's 1533-position model. The record is from RNAcentral. Lineage: Bacteria; Pseudomonadati; Pseudomonadota; Gammaproteobacteria.
UAUCCUUAUUUGCCAGCGCGUUAUGGCGGGAACUCUAAGGAGACUGCCGGUGAUAAACCGGAGGAAGGUGGGGACGACGUCAAGUCAUCAUGGCCCUUACGGGAUGGGCUACACACGUGCUACAAUGGCAGGUACAGAGGGCAGCAAUACCGCGAGGUGGAGCGAAUCCCACAAAGCUUGUCGUAGUCCGGAUUGGAGUCUGCAACUCGACUCCAUGAAGUCGGAAUCGCUAGUAAUCGUAGAUCAGAAUGCUACGGUGAAUACGUUC